This 389-nucleotide ribosomal RNA is filed under the name Gymnodinium sp. RNAcentral describes it as "partial small subunit ribosomal RNA". It matches the Rfam family "Eukaryotic small subunit ribosomal RNA", at positions 582 to 975 of the family's 1831-position model. Lineage: Eukaryota; Dinophyceae; Gymnodiniales; Gymnodiniaceae. The record is from RNAcentral.
AUUCCAGCUCCAAUAGCGUAUAUUAAAGUUGUUGCGGUUAAAAAGCUCGUAGUUGGAUUUCUGCUGAGGACGAUCGGUCCGCCCACUGGGUGAGUAUCUGGCUCGGCCUUGGCAUCUUCUUGGAGAACGUUGCUGCACUUGACUGUGUGGUGCGGUAUCCAGGACUUUUACUUUGAGGAAAUUAGAGUGUUUCAAGCAGGCGCACGCCUUGAAUACAUUAGCAUGGAAUAAUAAGAUAGGACCUUGGUUCUAUUUUGUUGGUUUCUAGAGCUGAGGUAAUGAUUAAUAGGGAUAGUUGGGGGUGCUAGUAUUGCUUGGCCAGAGGUGAAAUUCUUGGAUUCAAGCAAGACUAACUUAUGCGAAAGCAUUCACCAAGGAUGUCUUCAUUA